Molecule: ribosomal RNA, 1431 nt
Filed under: Escherichia coli
Lineage: Bacteria; Pseudomonadati; Pseudomonadota; Gammaproteobacteria; Enterobacterales; Enterobacteriaceae
Description: partial 23S ribosomal RNA
Rfam family: Bacterial large subunit ribosomal RNA
Source: RNAcentral
AGGAGCCCAGAGCCUGAAUCAGUGUGUGUGUUAGUGGAAGCGUCUGGAAAGGCGCGCGAUACAGGGUGACAGCCCCGUACACAAAAAUGCACAUGCUGUGAGCUCGAUGAGUAGGGCGGGACACGUGGUAUCCUGUCUGAAUAUGGGGGGACCAUCCUCCAAGGCUAAAUACUCCUGACUGACCGAUAGUGAACCAGUACCGUGAGGGAAAGGCGAAAAGAACCCCGGCGAGGGGAGUGAAAAAGAACCUGAAACCGUGUACGUACAAGCAGUGGGAGCACGCUCAGGCGUGUGACUGCGUACCUUUUGUAUAAUGGGUCAGCGACUUAUAUUCUGUAGCAAGGUUAACCGAAUAGGGGAGCCGAAGGGAAACCGAGUCUUAACUGGGCGUUAAGUUGCAGGGUAUAGACCCGAAACCCGGUGAUCUAGCCAUGGGCAGGUUGAAGGUUGGGUAACACUAACUGGAGGACCGAACCGACUAAUGUUGAAAAAUUAGCGGAUGACUUGUGGCUGGGGGUGAAAGGCCAAUCAAACCGGGAGAUAGCUGGUUCUCCCCGAAAGCUAUUUAGGUAGCGCCUCGUGAAUUCAUCUCCGGGGGUAGAGCACUGUUUCGGCAAGGGGGUCAUCCCGACUUACCAACCCGAUGCAAACUGCGAAUACCGGAGAAUGUUAUCACGGGAGACACACGGCGGGUGCUAACGUCCGUCGUGAAGAGGGAAACAACCCAGACCGCCAGCUAAGGUCCCAAAGUCAUGGUUAAGUGGGAAACGAUGUGGGAAGGCCCAGACAGCCAGGAUGUUGGCUUAGAAGCAGCCAUCAUUUAAAGAAAGCGUAAUAGCUCACUGGUCGAGUCGGCCUGCGCGGAAGAUGUAACGGGGCUAAACCAUGCACCGAAGCUGCGGCAGCGACGCUUAUGCGUUGUUGGGUAGGGGAGCGUUCUGUAAGCCUGUGAAGGUGUGCUGUGAGGCAUGCUGGAGGUAUCAGAAGUGCGAAUGCUGACAUAAGUAACGAUAAAGCGGGUGAAAAGCCCGCUCGCCGGAAGACCAAGGGUUCCUGUCCAACGUUAAUCGGGGCAGGGUGAGUCGACCCCUAAGGCGAGGCCGAAAGGCGUAGUCGAUGGGAAACAGGUUAAUAUUCCUGUACUUGGUGUUACUGCGAAGGGGGGACGGAGAAGGCUAUGUUGGCCGGGCGACGGUUGUCCCGGUUUAAGCGUGUAGGCUGGUUUUCCAGGCAAAUCCGGAAAAUCAAGGCUGAGGCGUGAUGACGAGGCACUACGGUGCUGAAGCAACAAAUGCCCUGCUUCCAGGAAAAGCCUCUAAGCAUCAGGUAACAUCAAAUCGUACCCCAAACCGACACAGGUGGUCAGGUAGAGAAUACCAAGGCGCUUGAGAGAACUCGGGUGAAGGAACUAGGCAAAAUGGUGCCGUAACU